Molecule: ribosomal RNA, 1346 nt
Filed under: uncultured bacterium
Lineage: Bacteria
Description: bacterial SSU rRNA
Rfam family: Bacterial small subunit ribosomal RNA
Source: RNAcentral
GACGAACGCUGGCGGCGUGCUUAACACAUGCAAGUCGAACGGAAAGGCCCUGCUUUUGUGGGGUGCUCGAGUGGCGAACGGGUGAGUAACACGUGAGUAACCUGCCCUUGACUUUGGGAUAACUUCAGGAAACUGGGGCUAAUACCGGAUAGGAGCUCCUGCUGCAUGGUGGGGGUUGGAAAGUUUCGGCGGUUGGGGAUGGACUCGCGGCUUAUCAGCUUGUUGGUGGGGUAGUGGCUUACCAAGGCUUUGACGGGUAGCCGGCCUGAGAGGGUGACCGGCCACAUUGGGACUGAGAUACGGCCCAGACUCCUACGGGAGGCAGCAGUGGGGAAUAUUGCACAAUGGGCGGAAGCCUGAUGCAGCAACGCCGCGUGCGGGAUGACGGCCUUCGGGUUGUAAACCGCUUUCGCCUGUGACGAAGCGUGAGUGACGGUAAUGGGUAAAGAAGCACCGGCUAACUACGUGCCAGCAGCCGCGGUGAUACGUAGGGUGCGAGCGUUGUCCGGAUUUAUUGGGCGUAAAGGGCUCGUAGGUGGUUGAUCGCGUCGGAAGUGUAAUCUUGGGGCUUAACCCUGAGCGUGCUUUCGAUACGGGUUGACUUGAGGAAGGUAGGGGAGAAUGGAAUUCCUGGCGGAGCGGUGGAAUGCGCAGAUAUCAGGAGGAACACCAGUGGCGAAGGCGGUUCUCUGGGCCUUUCCUGACGCUGAGGAGCGAAAGCGUGGGGAGCGAACAGGCUUAGAUACCCUGGUAGUCCACGCUGUAAACGGUGGGUACUAGGUGUGGGGUCCAUUCCACGGGUUCCGUGCCGUAGCUAACGCUUUAAGUACCCCGCCUGGGGAGUACGGCCGCAAGGCUAAAACUCAAAGGAAUUGACGGGGCCCCGCACAAGCGGCGGAGCAUGCGGAUUAAUUCGAUGCAACGCGUAGAACCUUACCUGGGUUUGACAUGGAUCGGGAGCGCUCAGAGAUGGGUGUGCCUCUUUUGGGGUCGGUUCACAGGUGGUGCAUGGCUGUCGUCAGCUCGUGUCGUGAGAUGUUGGGUUAAGUCCCGCAACGAGCGCAACCCUUGUUCACUGUUGCCAGCACGUUAUGGUGGGGACUCAGUGGAGACCGCCGGGGUCAACUCGGAGGAAGGUGGGGAUGACGUCAAGUCAUCAUGCCCCUUAUGUCCAGGGCUUCACGCAUGCUACAAUGGCUGGUACAGAGAGUGGCGAGCCUGUGAGGGUGAGCGAAUCUCGGAAAGCCGGUCUCAGUUCGGAUUGGGGUCUGCAACUCGACCUCAUGAAGUCGGAGUCGCUAGUAAUCGCAGAUCAGCAACGCUGCGGUGAAUACGUUCCCGGGGCU